Molecule: ribosomal RNA, 468 nt
Filed under: uncultured bacterium
Lineage: Bacteria
Description: partial 16S ribosomal RNA
Rfam family: Bacterial small subunit ribosomal RNA
Source: RNAcentral
GACGAACGCUGGCGGCGUGCUUAACACAUGCAAGUCGAACGGAAAGGCCCUGCUUUUGUGGGGUGCUCGAGUGGCGAACGGGUGAGUAACACGUGAGUAACCUGCCCUUGACUUUGGGAUAUCUUCAGGAAACUGGGGCGAAUACCGGAUAGGAGCUCCUGCUGCAUGGUGGGGGUUGGAAAGUUUCGGCGGUUGGGGAUGGACUCGCGGCUUAUCAGCUGGUUGGUGUGGCAGUGGCGUACCAAGGCUUUGACGGGUAGCCGGCCUGAGAGGGUGACCGGCCACAUUGGGACUGAGAUACGGCCCAGACGCCUACGGGAGGCAGUAGUGGAGAAUAUUGCACAAUGGGCGGAAGCCUGAUGCAGAAACGCCGCGUGCGGGAUGACGGCCUUCGGGUUGUAAACCGCUUUCGCAUGUGACGAAGCGUGAGUGACGGUAAUGGGUAAAGAAGCACCGGCUAACUACGUG